Molecule: long non-coding RNA, 1328 nt
Filed under: Homo sapiens (human)
Lineage: Eukaryota; Metazoa; Chordata; Mammalia; Primates; Hominidae
Description: non-protein coding lnc-SLC30A4-5:3
Source: RNAcentral
CUCACUGUCCAGAAAUGGCUCCAGGCUGAGUUGCACCCUCAAAGCUUUCCUCUGUUUCACCUCUGUUCAGACCCAAUGCAGGCCCCUUGCAGCCCAGAGGAAUAAAGAGAUGCCUAGAAAGAGGCCGUGGCCACUUGUUCUCUUUUGUUUUCUUCACUGCGGAGGACUGAGCAAGCCCACUAUCUGAGCAAUGUGGAAAUUCCAGCCCUCACAGGGCUUCACACCUUCAAGGGGAAGAACAUUGCGCCAUGAAACUUCCUUGCUCUAGGCCUGCCAGGAAGUUCAGUGAUGGAGCUGAGGAAAAGUGCGGCAGGCUGGCAGCAGGCCUUGUGACGACACAGCGGGGAAACCACAGGAUUCUGCAUUCUUCUGACCACAAGAGGAAGAGAUGGGAUCUUACUAUGUUGCCCAGGAUAUUCUCAAACUCUUGGCUUCAAGUGAUACUCCUGCCUUGGCCUCCCAGAUUGCUGGGAUUACAGAGUUGAAAGAUCACCUGGACCACUCCAUUCAGUUUACAGAAGACGACACUGAGGUCUCGAGUGAGGGAUUAAGUACCCAAGAUGUCACAGCAGAUAAUGGCAGAGUCAUGAUUUCUAACAAACAAACAGAAGAAGCAAGUCCCCUGCCUGUCGUCAGCCGGAGCCCCUCUGCUACGCCUGCUCCCCUGUUUCCCAUGGACUGCCUCAUCUUUUGCCUCUAGUUUGAGCCUGAAAGUUACACCUCCAAUGAAUGAAACUCACAGGAUCAUUGGCAUCCAGUCUUCCUCCUCCACACCCACUCUCGGCCACCUGCCCUUCUCAUCCACAGGUGGGAGCAAAGCUUGGUCAACCUGAUAGGCCUCUUCCAGGCAGGGACAGGAGAAGGGACGGCACAGCAGCUCUGAGUCAGGACUCCUUUCGGUAAGGCGUGGCCGCCAGGAAGGCCUGAGAGAAGGAAACCAGCCCAGGUGCGCUCUGUUUACCUUCUCGGCUCACAAACAUGACCAGACCCUCCUUGGCUGGCUGGAUGAAGUCCCAGCCACUUAGUCCAGCCCUCGAGCCUCUCCCAUUCCAGCCACAGUCUGCCUGGCCAGUUCCAUCCCCCUACGGCUUUCCUGGUGUACCACACCAUCCUCGGAUUGCAGCUCGCCCUCUUGGGCCUUUCUGGCCUAGCAGGUGCUGUUCCUUCAGCUCCAAUGCCCUUCCCUGCCUCUCCACCCGGCAAGCUCCUUCUCUUUGUAUCUUCUGCACUAACACUUCCCUCCUCCCUCCCCUUCCCCUCUUUUUCCUUUGUGCCCCGGUGGCACUUCUGAGACAAUGUUACAAGCAUAAUAAAAUAACAAAAUCAUG